CAGACCUCCCUCUCUCCCCCAACCUCAGAUCCAUCCACCCGCCGCCGCCCCCGCCCCUUUCUCCCCCAGACCAGGCAAUCUCCUCUCCUCAGCAACGGAGAGAGAGGCGCCGCCGCCCAGCGAGAACAGCAUCGCGGCUGGCUUGCUCGCCGGCGCGCGCAUGCGUGCUUCGAUGCACGGUGCUUCGUCGAGCUGGCCGGACCGCGCGCACGAGAGUAGAGCAUGGAAUCCAUGGGGUCGUCAUCGGGAGAAGACGAGGAGGAGUGCGUGCUGCCGAGCCGGCACCCGAAGCUGGCGAACGUGGCGCCGCGCCGCAGGCCGACAGGCCGGGCCGUGGUACGCGGUGCCGGACCUCAGGCUUCGCGGCCACCGCUUCGCCGUCCCACUCGACCACUCCUUCGCCGGCUCCCCCUCCGCGCCACACAUCACCGUGUUCUCCCGCGAGGUCAUCGCAGGUGGGAAAGAAGAGGUCCCUUUGCCUUAUCUGGUGUACCUACAACGGGGGCCUGGAUAUGAAAGUCCUCGCCCCACCGAAGCGAGUGGUUGGUGAAGAAGGCAUGCGAAGAAUACCGUGUGUUAUUGCUCGAUCAGCGAGGAAUAGGACUGUCAACACCAUUGACAACAUCAUCUCUUUCUCAAAUAACAUCUGUAGCAGAGCAGGUGGAGUAUCUGAAGCAUUUCAGGGUAGAUAACAUAGUUAAGGACGCAGAGUUUAUUCGUUAGCAUCUUGUACCAUAUGCCAAGCCUUGGACAAUUCUUGGACAGGUAUAGCUGACCCAUGGCUUUUAGUGGACAUGUUUCUUAAUUUUUGGUGCAAAAUAUGAUAUGGCUGGCUCUCAUAAGUUCAGUCUAACUAGUAGCUCCAACAGUUGAACAAACAAGCUCAAGAACAUCAUCAGGUCAAGCCAAGACUACACAUACGAUCUAUCCUCCAUUAUGCGAGCCUGCACGUUCCCGUUCCAUUUACAUCAGGUCAUAUAUAGUAUUGCUAAGUAGCUGUUGUUAGGGACAGUGAUACAUGGACUUCAAUUAAGGUUUCUGAUUAGUAUUAUGCUGCUACUGAUGUGCUAUUUAUAGCUAUAGUUUGACACUAUUAAUUAGGUUUGCUGGACAUGCCAUGGUAUAAGCCUUUGUCUUUUUUAGCAUCAACAAAUGUUUAUCUACUGUAAAGUACUAUUAAUUAGGCUUGCUUCUUUCUGUUAGUGCAUCUAUUGUUAAUUACACUUCAAAUGUAGUGUAUAUUACAAUUAUAAUUCAACAGUAAGUGUACUGUUAAACUUACUGCAUUGUCAACCACAAUUUACACUGUAGAAAUACUGAUGCUUGCAUGCUCUUUUCCGUAACUGAACAACCAGGCUGUUGAUCCACCUUGUUGCAGUCAGCGAAGUAGCAGACGGACAUGCCAGCUGUUGGUGCACUGCUGCGUAACACUGAUGCAUAUGUAUGCGACUUGGUCGCCGGCGGCGGUGUCUUGGUUCAGUGUCAACAUCUCAUCUACAGAGCAUAUGGCUACGACUUGAUGGGCACGUGGUGGACUUAAGUAUCUUAGUGACUUCAUUUGAUGUGUGUAUUUCUAUUAAUUUUAAGCUUCUGUUGCUGUGAAAAUGUACCUCACUAACCGUCUGUCUAUUCAUUGUGUACUUCUUGCAUGAGGAGGUGACUAGUGAUGCGGCGCGCGAAGCAGCAGUAGGGGAAGGGGGUCUCUUGCUCGAGGAGGCGGAGGAGUAGGGGCGUGCCCAGCCAAAAGCCAUGUCCUGCUCGUGGGGCAGGGGCGGGAGGGGUCUGCUCCUCUGCUUCCAUUGCGACCGCGGCAGGAGCAACGUUGCUGAUGGCGAUGGGUACGUGAUGGUGGCUAGUGUGGUGGACGACCCAGAAUAUGUGGCCUCGCAAGUGCACAUGAGCUCUAGGCCUAAUUUUUUUGAAGUGUGAAGCCGUGAAGCCAAGUGCAAAGGAGUGAAUCCCUACUUAUCAAAGAGAUUUUUGGUUCUGUAGUAGACUGUAAAUUGUAAUAUUGUAACAGAUUGAAAAAGACUAUUGUAUGUUUGAAUAAUUAUGCAUGUUGAAAAGAUGUGAAAUGGAAACUUGACAAGUGGGAACCACUUAUGAAUAAAAUCUGAGCAUUUUUGAAA
Long non-coding RNA from Triticum dicoccoides, 2129 nucleotides. RefSeq lists it as uncharacterized. The record is from RefSeq and is a predicted model, not a curated record. Lineage: Eukaryota; Viridiplantae; Streptophyta; Magnoliopsida; Poales; Poaceae. The transcript is spliced from 6 exons.